UAUUACAAUGAAGAGUUUGAUCCUGGCUCAGGAUGAACGCUAGCUACAGGCUUAACACAUGCAAGUCGAGGGGCAGCAUGGUCUUAGCUUGCUA
Molecule: ribosomal RNA, 94 nt
Filed under: Phocaeicola vulgatus
Lineage: Bacteria; Pseudomonadati; Bacteroidota; Bacteroidia; Bacteroidales; Bacteroidaceae
Description: Bacteroides vulgatus partial 16S ribosomal RNA
Rfam family: Bacterial small subunit ribosomal RNA
Source: RNAcentral